UCGAGCGUCAUUUAUACCAAUCAAGCUUACGCUUGGUCUUGGGGCAUGCGGGUUCCGCAGCCUCUAAAACCAGUGGCGGUGCUGCUGAGCUCUGAGCGUAGUAAUACUCCUCGCUAUAGGGUCUCGGUGGUGGCUUGCCAGCAACCCCCCAUUUUUUCUAGGUUGACCUCGGAUCAGGUAGGGAUACCCGCUGAACUUAA
This 200-nucleotide unclassified non-coding RNA is filed under the name soil metagenome. Its description in RNAcentral is "partial contains internal transcribed spacer 2 and large subunit ribosomal RNA". The record is from RNAcentral.